This 380-nucleotide ribosomal RNA is filed under the name uncultured eukaryote. RNAcentral's name for it is "partial 18S ribosomal RNA". It matches the Rfam family "Eukaryotic small subunit ribosomal RNA", at positions 592 to 976 of the family's 1831-position model. The record is from RNAcentral.
CAAUAGCGUAUAUUAAAGUUGUUGCGGUUAAAAAGCUCGUAGUUGGAUUUCUGCCGAGGACGACCGGUCCGCCCUCUGGGUGUGUAUCUGGUUUGGCCUGGGCAUCUUCUUGGUGAACGUUGCUGCACUUGACUGUGUGGAGCGCUACCCAGGACUUUUACUUUGAGGAAAUUAGAGUGUUUCAAGCAGGCAUACGCCUUGAAUACAUUAGCAUGGAAUAAUAAGAUAGGACCUCGGUUCUAUUUUGUUGGUUUCUAGAGCUGAGGUAAUGAUUAAUAGGGAUAGUUGGGGGCAUUCGUAUUUAACUGUCAGAGGUGAAAUUCUUGGGUUUGUUAAAGACGGACUACUGCGAAAGCAUUUGCCAAGGAUGUUUUCAUUGA